GAUGAACGCUGGCGGCGUGCCUAAUACAUGCAAGUCGAGCGAACGGACGAGAAGCUUGCUUCUCUGAUGUUAGCGGCAGACGGGUGAGUAACACGUGGAUAACCUACCUAUAAGACUGGGAUAACUUCGGGAAACCGGAGCUAAUACCGGAUAAUAUUUUGAACCGCAUGGUUCAAAAGUGAAAGACGGUCUUGCUGUCACUUAUAGAUGGAUCCGCGCUGCAUUAGCUAGUUGGUAAGGUAACGGCUUACCAAGGCAACGAUGCAUAGCCGACCUGAGAGGGUGAUCGGCCACACUGGAACUGAGACACGGUCCAGACUCCUACGGGAGGCAGCAGUAGGGAAUCUUCCGUAAUGGGCGAAAGCCUGACGGAGCAACGCCGCGUGAGUGAUGAAGGUCUUCGGAUCGUAAAACUCUGUUAUUAGGGAAGAACAUAUGUGUAAGUAACUGUGCACAUCUUGACGGUACCUAAUCAGAAAGCCACGGCUAACUACGUG
This 497-nucleotide ribosomal RNA is filed under the name uncultured bacterium. RNAcentral's name for it is "partial 16S ribosomal RNA". It matches the Rfam family "Bacterial small subunit ribosomal RNA", at positions 28 to 507 of the family's 1533-position model. The record is from RNAcentral.